Molecule: ribosomal RNA, 2905 nt
Filed under: Yersinia pseudotuberculosis
Lineage: Bacteria; Pseudomonadati; Pseudomonadota; Gammaproteobacteria; Enterobacterales; Yersiniaceae
Description: bacterial LSU rRNA
Rfam family: Bacterial large subunit ribosomal RNA
Source: RNAcentral
UUAAGCGACUAAGCGUACACGGUGGAUGCCUAGGCAGUCAGAGGCGAUGAAGGGCGUGCUAAUCUGCGAAAAGCGUCGGUAAGCUGAUAUGAAGCGUUAUAACCGACGAUACCCGAAUGGGGAAACCCAGUGCAAUACGUUGCACUAUCGUUAGAUGAAUACAUAGUCUAACGAGGCGAACCGGGGGAACUGAAACAUCUAAGUACCCCGAGGAAAAGAAAUCAACCGAGAUUCCCCCAGUAGCGGCGAGCGAACGGGGAGGAGCCCAGAGUCUGAAUCAGUUUGUGUGUUAGUGGAAGCGUCUGGAAAGUCGCACGGUACAGGGUGAUAGUCCCGUACACCAAAAUGCACAGGCUGUGAACUCGAUGAGUAGGGCGGGACACGUGACAUCCUGUCUGAAUAUGGGGGGACCAUCCUCCAAGGCUAAAUACUCCUGACUGACCGAUAGUGAACCAGUACCGUGAGGGAAAGGCGAAAAGAACCCCGGCGAGGGGAGUGAAAUAGAACCUGAAACCGUGUACGUACAAGCAGUGGGAGCACCUUCGUGGUGUGACUGCGUACCUUUUGUAUAAUGGGUCAGCGACUUAUAUUUUGUAGCAAGGUUAACCGAAUAGGGGAGCCGUAGGGAAACCGAGUCUUAACUGGGCGUCUAGUUGCAAGGUAUAGACCCGAAACCCGGUGAUCUAGCCAUGGGCAGGUUGAAGGUUGGGUAACACUAACUGGAGGACCGAACCGACUAAUGUUGAAAAAUUAGCGGAUGACUUGUGGCUGGGGGUGAAAGGCCAAUCAAACCGGGAGAUAGCUGGUUCUCCCCGAAAGCUAUUUAGGUAGCGCCUCGUGAACUCAUCUUCGGGGGUAGAGCACUGUUUCGGCUAGGGGGCCAUCCCGGCUUACCAAACCGAUGCAAACUCCGAAUACCGAAGAAUGUUAUCACGGGAGACACACGGCGGGUGCUAACGUCCGUCGUGAAGAGGGAAACAACCCAGACCGCCAGCUAAGGUCCCAAAGUCAUGGUUAAGUGGGAAACGAUGUGGGAAGGCACAGACAGCCAGGAUGUUGGCUUAGAAGCAGCCAUCAUUUAAAGAAAGCGUAAUAGCUCACUGGUCGAGUCGGCCUGCGCGGAAGAUGUAACGGGGCUAAACCAUGCACCGAAGCUGCGGCAGCGACGUUUAGGCGUUGUUGGGUAGGGGAGCGUUCUGUAAGCCGUUGAAGGUGACCUGUGAGGGUUGCUGGAGGUAUCAGAAGUGCGAAUGCUGACAUAAGUAACGAUAAUGCGGGUGAAAAACCCGCACGCCGGAAGACCAAGGGUUCCUGUCCAACGUUAAUCGGGGCAGGGUGAGUCGACCCCUAAGGCGAGGCUGAAAAGCGUAGUCGAUGGGAAACAGGUUAAUAUUCCUGUACUUGGUGUUACUGCGAAGGGGGGACGGAGAAGGCUAGGCUGGCCGGGCGACGGUUGUCCCGGUUUAAGCGUGUAGGGGGAGUGACCAGGUAAAUCCGGUUGCUUAUCAACCCUGAGGCGUGAUGACGAUGCACUACGGUGCAGAAGCAGUUGAUGCCAUGCUUCCAGGAAAAGCCUCUAAGCAUCAGGUAACAUUAAAUCGUACCCCAAACCGACACAGGUGGUCAGGUAGAGAAUACUCAGGCGCUUGAGAGAACUCGGGUGAAGGAACUAGGCAAAAUGGUGCCGUAACUUCGGGAGAAGGCACGCUGGCGUUAGGUGAAAGGACUAGCUCCUGGAGCUGAAGCCAGUCGCAGAUACCAGCUGGCUGCAACUGUUUAAUAAAAACACAGCACUGUGCAAACACGAAAGUGGACGUAUACGGUGUGACGCCUGCCCGGUGCUGGAAGGUUAAUUGAUGGGGUCAGCCGCAAGGCGAAGCUCUUGAUCGAAGCCCCAGUAAACGGCGGCCGUAACUAUAACGGUCCUAAGGUAGCGAAAUUCCUUGUCGGGUAAGUUCCGACCUGCACGAAUGGCGUAAUGAUGGCCAGGCUGUCUCCACCCGAGACUCAGUGAAAUUGAACUCGCUGUGAAGAUGCAGUGUACCCGCGGCAAGACGGAAAGACCCCGUGAACCUUUACUAUAGCUUGACACUGAACAUUGAGCCUUGAUGUGUAGGAUAGGUGGGAGGCCUUGAAGUGUGGACGCCAGUCUGCAUGGAGCCAACCUUGAAAUACCACCCUUUAAUGUUUGAUGUUCUAACUCGGCCCCAUGAUCUGGGGUGAGGACAGUGUCUGGUGGGUAGUUUGACUGGGGCGGUCUCCUCCCAAAGAGUAACGGAGGAGCACGAAGGUUAGCUAAUCACGGUCGGACAUCGUGAGGUUAGUGCAAAGGCAUAAGCUAGCUUGACUGCGAGAGUGACGGCUCGAGCAGGUACGAAAGUAGGUCUUAGUGAUCCGGUGGUUCUGAAUGGAAGGGCCAUCGCUCAACGGAUAAAAGGUACUCCGGGGAUAACAGGCUGAUACCGCCCAAGAGUUCAUAUCGACGGCGGUGUUUGGCACCUCGAUGUCGGCUCAUCACAUCCUGGGGCUGAAGUAGGUCCCAAGGGUAUGGCUGUUCGCCAUUUAAAGUGGUACGCGAGCUGGGUUUAGAACGUCGUGAGACAGUUCGGUCCCUAUCUGCCGUGGGCGUUGGAAGAUUGAGAGGGGCUGCUCCUAGUACGAGAGGACCGGAGUGGACGAAUCACUGGUGUUCGGGUUGUCAUGCCAAUGGCAUUGCCCGGUAGCUAAAUUCGGAAGAGAUAACCGCUGAAAGCAUCUAAGCGGGAAACUUGCCUCGAGAUGAGUCUUCCCUGGGGCUUAAAGCCCCCUGAAGGAACGUUAAAGACUAUGACGUUGAUAGGCUGGGUGUGUAAGUGCAGCGAUGUAUUGAGCUAACCAGUACUAAUGAUCCGUGAGGCUUAACCUU